Long non-coding RNA from Crotalus tigris (Tiger rattlesnake), 308 nucleotides. RefSeq lists it as uncharacterized. The transcript is spliced from 3 exons. The record is from RefSeq and is a predicted model, not a curated record. Lineage: Eukaryota; Metazoa; Chordata; Lepidosauria; Squamata; Viperidae.
GGCGGAGCCCGCCUCAUCCGCCCCUCGUGCACCACGAGCUGCAGGUUGCCGGUCGCCGCUGCCGCAUCCCGCCUGGGGAGAAGGAAAGGGGGUACCUGACCCACAGCGGCGUUCACCCCAGCAACAGAUGCUUUUCCAUGGGUCCUGCUGCUGCUACAUUGACACCUACUGUUAAUUCAACUUCCUUCAUGCCGAUCCAGGUAGUGGAACAAAUUGCCUUUUGGGGCUGCCCGCAAGAAGAAUGCAUAAGAACUCUCAGAACGGUGUUCUGGUACCUUUUUUUGAUGGGGUUUUUUUUCAACUUUUGC